UGAGCUUGUGGGGUCAACAGAAGCCAACCCUACAUUGUCAACUUUUGGAAAUUUCACUUUGCUCCGUUGAGCUAAUCUUGGAUCACCUUGCUUGAUCAUGUUAGGAUUUGGCUGCAAUGCUUGGAACCUCCCCUCCGAUGCAUGGAAAUGGAAACCCAUUUCGCCCACAGCAAGACACAACAAGAAGGCGUUCGGGCUCAUUUCCUCAAAUUUGAAAAGUCAGAAAGAAAAUCUCUAAUGUCGAAAACGCAUUUCUUUAAAAAAAUAAUACAUGUUAAAAUUUAAAAAGCAGAGUCUUAAAACUAGUCGCAUCAGACCUCUAGAAUAAG
This 329-nucleotide unclassified non-coding RNA is filed under the name Hevea brasiliensis (rubber tree). Lineage: Eukaryota; Viridiplantae; Streptophyta; Magnoliopsida; Malpighiales; Euphorbiaceae. The record is from RNAcentral.